Molecule: ribosomal RNA, 468 nt
Filed under: uncultured bacterium
Lineage: Bacteria
Description: partial 16S ribosomal RNA
Rfam family: Bacterial small subunit ribosomal RNA
Source: RNAcentral
GACGAACGCUGGCGGCGUGCUUAACACAUGCAAGUCGAACGGAAAGGCCCUGCUUUUGUGGGGUGCUCGAGUGGCGAACGGGUGAGUGACACGUGAGUAACCUGCCCUUGACUUUGGGAUAACUUCAGGAAACUGGGGCUAAUACCGGAUAGGAGCUCCUGCUGCAUGGUGGGGGUUGGAAAGUUUCGGCGGUUGGGGAUGGACUCGCGGCUUAUCAGCUUGUUGGUGGGGUAGUGGCUUACCAAGGCUUUGACGGGUAGCCGGCCUGAGAGGGUGACCGGCCACAUUGGGACUGAGAUACGGCCCAGACUCCUACGGGAGGCAGCAGUGGGGAAUAUUGCACAAUGGGCGGAAGCCUGAUGCAGCAACGCCGCGUGCGGGAUGACGGCCUUCGGGUUGUAAACCGCUUUCGCCUGUGACGAAGCGUGAGUGACGGUAAUGGGUAAAGAAGCACCGGCUAACUACGUG